This 99-nucleotide small RNA is filed under the name Oryza sativa Japonica Group (Japanese rice). Its description in RNAcentral is "sRNA Os05g0317550". Lineage: Eukaryota; Viridiplantae; Streptophyta; Magnoliopsida; Poales; Poaceae. The record is from RNAcentral.
GAGAAGAUGAGAGAGAGAGAGAGAGAGAAAAGGGUGGAGGAGGGCACGGGGCAUGGCUGCAGAGCAUAAGGCAGCAUACCUCCGCCACCUCGCUUCUUC